Non-coding RNA from Podarcis lilfordi (Lilford's wall lizard), 68 nucleotides. The record is from the annotation of a GenBank genome assembly. NCBI's taxonomy places the organism in Eukaryota, Metazoa, Chordata, Lepidosauria, Squamata, Lacertidae.
AUAUAGCUCCGUAGUAGAGCGUCUGCUUUGCAUGCAGGAGGUCCGUGGUUCAAUUCCUGGUAUCUCCG